Molecule: long non-coding RNA, 378 nt
Filed under: Mustela putorius furo (domestic ferret)
Lineage: Eukaryota; Metazoa; Chordata; Mammalia; Carnivora; Mustelidae
Description: lncRNA (ENSMPUG00000028735.1)
Source: RNAcentral
AGAAAACCCUGUGCUAGAUGUGGUUCAUGUGCUUCUGGAUUUCACAGCCUGGCAGAGGAGAGACCCAGAAAAAAACUGAACAGAAGUAAAAGCCUCUCUGAAAGGUUGUCCAACUCUGCGCAAACCUGUGAACACAAAGAAGUACUCCGAAGAGCCUGUCCUGGGACAGAGGCACUAAUCUGCACAUGGCCUACUUUCUACCUAGCAGAUUUCCAUGGUGUGGUCCUUGGGGGUGCUGCCCAGGCCACUGCCCAUGAAACUGGAACCUACCACACUCUGAUCCCUCUUACCCACUUACCAGCAUGAUCGCAUCACCUUCAGAUGCGUGGUUCCCUUAUUUAUUAGGUUCUUUAUUUUCUCUAUCCUCCAUGAGAAUGC